This 253-nucleotide ribosomal RNA is filed under the name uncultured bacterium. Its description in RNAcentral is "partial 16S ribosomal RNA". It matches the Rfam family "Bacterial small subunit ribosomal RNA", at positions 524 to 776 of the family's 1533-position model. The record is from RNAcentral.
UACGAAGGGUGCUAGCGUUGUUCGGAAUCACUGGGCGUAAAGCGCACGUAGGCGGACUUCUAAGUCAGGGGUGAAAUCCCGGGGCUCAACCUCGGAACUGCCUUUGAUACUGGAAGUCUGGAGUCCGAGAGAGGUGAGUGGAACUCCGAGUGUAGAGGUGAAAUUCGUAGAUAUUCGGAAGAACACCAGUGGCGAAGGCGGCUCACUGGCUCGGUACUGACGCUGAGGUGCGAAAGCGUGGGGAGCAAACAGG